This 502-nucleotide ribosomal RNA is filed under the name uncultured Pseudomonas sp. RNAcentral's name for it is "partial 16S ribosomal RNA". The record is from RNAcentral. Lineage: Bacteria; Pseudomonadati; Pseudomonadota; Gammaproteobacteria; Pseudomonadales; Pseudomonadaceae.
CACGAAGUUAGCCGGUGCUUAUUCUGUUGGUAACGUCAAAACAGCAAGGUAUUAACUUACUGCCCUUCCUCCCAACUUAAAGUGCUUUACAAUCCGAAGACCUUCUUCACACACGCGGCAUGGCUGGAUCAGGCUUUCGCCCAUUGUCCAAUAUUCCCCACUGCUGCCUCCCGUAGGAGUCUGGACCGUGUCUCAGUUCCAGUGUGACUGAUCAUCCUCUCAGACCAGUUACGGAUCGUCGCCUUGGUAGGCCUUUACCCCACCAACUAGCUAAUCCGACCUAGGCUCAUCUGAUAGCGUGAGGUCCGAAGAUCCCCCACUUUCUCCCUCAGGACGUAUGCGGUAUUAGCGCCCGUUUCCGGACGUUAUCCCCCACUACCAGGCAGAUUCCUAGGCAUUACUCACCCGUCCGCCGCUGAAUCCAGGAGCAAGCUCCCUUCAUCCGCUCGACUUGCAUGUGUUAGGCCUGCCGCCAGCGUUCAAUCUGAGCCAGGAUCAAACU